RNAcentral lists this ribosomal RNA (253 nucleotides) under uncultured bacterium. RNAcentral's name for it is "partial 16S ribosomal RNA". It matches the Rfam family "Bacterial small subunit ribosomal RNA", at positions 524 to 776 of the family's 1533-position model. The record is from RNAcentral.
UACGCAGGUGGCGAGCGUUGCCCGGAAUCACUGGGCGUAAAGGGUGCGUAGGCGGCAGGGUAAGUCGCAGGUUAAAGCCCGGGGCUCAACCCCGGAAAGGCCUGCGAUACUGCCUUGCUUGAGGGCCGGAGAGGCUGGCGGAAUUCCCGGUGUAGGGGUGAAAUCCGUAGAUAUCGGGAGGAACACCGGUGGGGAAGCCGGCCAGCUGGACGGUCCCUGACGCUGAGGCACGAAAGCGUGGGGAGCAAACCGG